CAAUAGCGUAUAUUUAAGUUGUUGCAGUUAAAAAGCUCGUAGUUGGAUUUCGGGUGGGACGCAGCGGUCUCGCAUUGCGUUUGUACUGCUGCAGCCCUCCUUCUUGCCGGGGGCGGCCUCUCGGACUUCACUGUCUGGGGGUCAGAAUCGGCGAUGUUACUUUGAGUAAAUUAGAGUGUUCAAAGCAAGCUUACGCUCUGAAUAUAAUAGCAUGGGAUAACACGACAGGACUCUGGCCUAUCGUGUUGGUCUAUAGGACCAGAGUAAUGAUUAAGAGGGACAGACGGGGGCAUUCGUAUUCCGUUGUCAGAGGUGAAAUUCUUGGAUUUACGGAAGACGAACAUCUGCGAAAGCAUUUGCCAAGGAUGUUUUCAUUG
RNAcentral lists this ribosomal RNA (377 nucleotides) under uncultured eukaryote. RNAcentral describes it as "partial 18S ribosomal RNA". It matches the Rfam family "Eukaryotic small subunit ribosomal RNA", at positions 592 to 975 of the family's 1831-position model. The record is from RNAcentral.